GGAGUAUGAGAUAUGAACUCUGCUUUCUGCUUGAGGCAACCACGUCUGAGAGACUCAACCGCCCUCCUGUGUGACCGGGCGCAGGGCCCUCAGGAAGCAGCUCCGAGCCGCCUGGCUCUCCGACCCCAGACGAGAGCUCGUCCCAGCGCCUCGUCCUGCCCUGCCUGCUGCAGCACUGUCAGUGCCGUCUGUCGGCAGUCCCAUAAUUUGGACCAAAUGCAGACCAACCCCUCAGGACGGCCAAAAGAGAGAUGGCCUCAACAGUUCAACGGGAUGGAGUCAAAAUGAUUGAAAAUCGAGGAUGCAAACGAAAACAAAAGUGAACCAGAGAGCACUCUAUCAUCCUGGAGAGAGACGCUCCCGGGGAAAAUCGUGUGCGAGAGGCUGCUGCCUGCCAGCUCUCUUCACCUUCACUCCGGAAACAAGCCGCUCUUCGUAAAGGCCAACUGCCUCGACUUCCGGGGGCUGUGAUGGGAAGGCCCAACACACUGGGAAGAGUGAGCAUCCCUGAGGUCAACCCCUCUUGGCUGCAGAGAGACACGCCCACCCUUCACAGCCAGCUGGCUGGCGGUCACCUCCAUCCAUAAAGAUGCUGGUCAUUCUCCAAAUGACCUCUCUACUUGGAAGCCCUCAGCUCAGCUCAGCUCAGCCUGGAGACCGUUGCUACGUGUGGGGAAGCUUUUUCCCCCGAGCGCUGGACAUAAUCUCAGGCAGUAAGAAGGCUGCACAUGCCGGCGGCUGUCCCCGCGGAGCUGGCUUUUGGAUGACUAAAAACAACAGGGUAUCGGGCCAGGCCUGUAACCUUCCAGAGAGAUGAAGAAGUUGCAGGGUUGGGAAAAGCAGGCCUUCUUCUGGAGUAAAAGGAAGGGAGACUGUGCCCGAGAUGGGUGUUCAAGGUUCUUCUCUGAACCAGCUAAGGCAGAGGAAGAGACACCAGGUGUGUCUGCACACAGAGGAAGGGCCACGUGAGAACUAGGAGAGAAGGUGACCAGCUGCAAGCGAAGAAACCAGCCCUCUUGGCACCUUGAUCUUGGACUUUCAACCCCCAGAACUGGAGAAAAUACAUUUCUGUUCUUUAAGCCACCCA
Molecule: non-coding RNA, 1087 nt
Organism: Vicugna pacos (alpaca)
Lineage: Eukaryota; Metazoa; Chordata; Mammalia; Artiodactyla; Camelidae
Source: RefSeq, a predicted model, not a curated record